This 372-nucleotide ribosomal RNA is filed under the name uncultured bacterium. Its description in RNAcentral is "bacterial SSU rRNA". It matches the Rfam family "Bacterial small subunit ribosomal RNA", at positions 524 to 898 of the family's 1533-position model. The record is from RNAcentral.
UACGGAGGGUGCAAGCGUUAUCCGGAUUCACUGGGUUUAAAGGGUGUGUAGGCGGGCUGUUAAGUCAGUGGUGAAAUCUCCGGGCUCAACCCGGAAACUGCCAUUGAUACUAUCAGUCUUGAAUAUCGUUGAGGUUGGCGGAAUAUAUCAUGUAGCGGUGAAAUGCUUAGAUAUGAUAUAGAACACCGAUUGCGAAGGCAGCUAACUAAGCGAUGAUUGACGCUGAGGCACGAAAGCGUGGGGAUCAAACAGGAUUAGAUACCCUGGUAGUCCACGCCCUAAACGAUGAUUACUCGACAUACGCGAUACACAGUGUGUGUCUGAGCGAAAGCAUUAAGUAAUCCACCUGGGAAGUACGUCCGCAAGGAUGAA